AGCUAAUACUUGCUUUAGCACUCUUGAUUUAUUUCUUGAGUGUGUACUUGUUAAGCCUUAUAAGAAAAGAGUUAUUAACUUAAGGAAUUAUAACAAAGAAGUAACACGUAAUGGAUUCUUCCAUUUUUUAGUGUGUAUCAAUCGAGUUUCUGACCUAUCAGCUUUUGAUGUUAGGGUAUUGGCCUAACAUGGCUAUGACGGGUAACGGGGAAUUAGAGUUCGAUUCCGGAGAGGGAGCCUGAGAAAUAGCUACCACAUCUAAGGAAGGCAGCAGACGCGUAAAUUACCCAAUUCUAAAGAAGAGAGGUAGUGACAAGAAAUAACAAUACAAGGCCAAUCUGGCUUUGUAAUUGGAAUGAUGGGAAUUUAAAACCUUCCCAAAAUUCAAUUGGAGGGCAAGUCUGGUGCCAGCAGCCGCGGUAAUUCCAGCUCCAAUAGCGUAUAUUAAAAUUGUUGCAGUUAAAACGCUCGUAGUUGAAUUUCAAAGAAUCGAUAUUUUAAGUAACGCUUCUAGCUACAAAUCCACAUAACUGAUGCCUCCGCGUAUCGACUUUGUGCGCAUUUUAGCUAUUAUGUGUUCUUUUAAUUAAAAUGAUUCUUUUUAAGAUUCAUCUAUUAAAAAUUUGCUUCGGCAUAAUUUUUUUUGAUGAUCUUGUUACUUUGAGUAAAUUAGAGUGUUCAAAGCAAACAGAUAUAGCAUUUGUGCGUUUGAAUACUACAGCAUGGAAUAACAAAAUUGAACAAGUCAGAAUUUUUUUGUUCUUUCUUCUUAUUUUGGCUUAGUUACGAUUAAUAGGAGUAGCUUGGGGGCAUUUGUAUUCAGAUGUCAGAGGUGAAAUUCUUAGAUUUUCUGGAGACAAACAACUGCGAAAGCAUUUGCCUAAAAUACUUCCAUUAAUCAAGAACGAAAGUUAAGGGAGUGAAGACGAUCAGAUACCGUCGUAACCUUAACCAUAAACUAUGCCGACUAGGCUUUGGAUGAAAGAUUUUAAAAUAAGAGUUUU
Molecule: ribosomal RNA, 1004 nt
Filed under: Plasmodium knowlesi
Lineage: Eukaryota; Apicomplexa; Aconoidasida; Haemosporida; Plasmodiidae
Description: SSU rRNA
Rfam family: Eukaryotic small subunit ribosomal RNA
Source: RNAcentral